Xiphophorus hellerii (green swordtail) is the source of this 1152-nucleotide long non-coding RNA. RefSeq lists it as uncharacterized. The record is from RefSeq and is a predicted model, not a curated record. Lineage: Eukaryota; Metazoa; Chordata; Actinopteri; Cyprinodontiformes; Poeciliidae. The transcript has 3 exons.
UGGAGGGACGAUGUUCCUCUGCUGGCCUGGGAACGACUCGGGAUUCACAGGGUGGAUCUGGAACAAGAGGCUGGAGGGAAGACUGGGCCUCCUUAGACUGAUGACCCUGGAUAAGAGGAUGGAUGGAAACAGGAAGUUAAAAUCUGUUAAAACAUAAAUUUAUCAGAUCAGAACCAAAGUCUGAGACAGAAAACAGAAAACCAACGAACAGAUCAGAGACAGAAACAAAACGAAGGAAACAGAAACAUUAGCAUCAUGCUAACCACAGCGGCUUUGCAUCAUGCUAACAUGGCAGCAUUAGCAUCAUGCUAACAUGGCAGCAUUAGCAUCAUGCUAACCAUGGCAGCAUUAGCAUCAUGCUAACAUGGCAGCAUUAGCAUCAUGAUAACCAUGGCAGCAUUAGCAUCAUGCUAACAUGGCAGCAUUAGCAUCAUGCUAACCAUGGUAGCAUUCAUAGGUGAUUAUCAGCAGAGAACAGGAAGGCAAAAAGAGCACAGUAACAUGGUAGCUAAUGCUAAUGAAGCAGGUGUAGCUUACCAGGAGUCUUAGUUUCUUUUUUACUGUCGCCAUCAGCAGCUUAUCACCAUGGCAACCCAAAACAUCCCCACAUUUCAUAACAUCCAGAGCUCCACAGUUUAAGGUGGAAUGAAACGCGGCCCGUUAAUUUAAGGUGGAACCGGAAUGAGACCCGUCAAUUUAAGGUGGAACCGGAAUGAGACCCGUUAAUUUAAGGUGGAACCGGAAUGUGACCCGUUAAUUUAAGGUGGAACCGGAAUGAGAAACGGAAUGAGACCUGUCAAUUUAAGGUGGAACCGGAAUGAGACCCGUCAAUUUAAGGUGGAACCGGAAUGAGACCCGUUAAUUUAAGGUGGAACCGGAAUGAGACCCGUCAAUUUAAGGUGGAACCGGAAUGCGACCCGUCAAUUUAAGGUGGAACCGGAAUGAGACCCGUUAAUUUAAGGUGGAACCGGAAUGAGACCCGUUAAUUUAAGGUGGUACCGGAAUGAGACCCGUUAAUUCAAUAAAAAUAAAUUUUGAUAAAAAUCUUCAAGUUCAGAAUAAAAUGGAUCUGAAACUGAAAAACCUUCAGAACCAGGCGGUUCUGUUAGAAGAAGCCAGUCCCAGUCACAACCCACUCAGACCCGGUUGUGG